This 477-nucleotide ribosomal RNA is filed under the name uncultured bacterium. RNAcentral describes it as "partial 16S ribosomal RNA". It matches the Rfam family "Bacterial small subunit ribosomal RNA", at positions 30 to 507 of the family's 1533-position model. The record is from RNAcentral.
AUUGAACGCUGGCGGCAUGCCUUACACAUGCAAGUCGAACGGUAACAGGUUAAGCUGACGAGUGGCGAACGGGUGAGUCAUGUAUCGGAACGUGCCCAGUCGUGGGGGAUAACUGCUCGAAAGAGCAGCUAAUACCGCAUACGACCUGAGGGUGAAAGCGGGGGAUCGCAAGACCUCGCGCGAUUGGAGCGGCCGAUAUCAGAUUAGGUAGUUGGUGAGGUAAAGGCGCACCAAGCCGACGAUCUGUAGCUGGUCUGAGAGGACGACCAGCCACACUGGGACUGAGACACGGCCCAGACUCCUACGGGAGGCAGCAGUGGGGAAUUUUGGACAAUGGGCGCAAGCCUGAUCCAGCCAUGCCGCGUGCGGGAAGAAGGCCUUCGGGUUGUAAACCGCUUUUGUCAGGGAAGAAAAGGUUCUGGCUAAUACCUGGGACUCAUGACGGUACCUGAAGAAUAAGCACCGGCUAACUACGUG